RNAcentral lists this ribosomal RNA (172 nucleotides) under uncultured bacterium. RNAcentral describes it as "partial 16S ribosomal RNA". It matches the Rfam family "Bacterial small subunit ribosomal RNA", at positions 335 to 524 of the family's 1533-position model. The record is from RNAcentral.
ACUCCUACGGGAGGCAGCAGUGGGGAAUCUUGCACAAUGGAGGGAACUCUGAUGCAGCGACGUCGCGUGAACGAUGAAGGCUUUCGAGUCGUAAAGUUCUGUCCUAUGGGACGAUAAUGACGGUACCAUAGGAGGAAGCCCCGGCUAACUACGUGCCAGCAGCCGCGGUAAU